UUAUAGCCGCGAUGGGAGCGGUAUCCUUUUUUGCUGGAGGGGUUUUGAUGUUAUAAACUAAAGUGCUGGCAAAAAAGAUAUAGCGGAUAGCGCGACGGGUU
This 101-nucleotide small RNA is filed under the name Kaistella antarctica. RNAcentral describes it as "Chryseobacterium antarcticum Flavo-1 RNA". It matches the Rfam family "Flavo-1 RNA". The record is from RNAcentral. Lineage: Bacteria; Pseudomonadati; Bacteroidota; Flavobacteriia; Flavobacteriales; Weeksellaceae.